UUUAAAGAGAGUUUGAUCCUGGCUCAGGACGAACGCUGGCGGCGUGCCUAAUACAUGCAAGUCGAACGAACGGAGGAAGAGCUUGCUCUUCCAAAGUUAGUGGCGGACGGGUGAGUAACACGUGGGCAACCUGCCUGUAAGUUGGGGAUAACUCCGGGAAACCGGGGCUAAUACCGAAUAAUAAGAUGUGGCGCAUGCCACGUCUUUGAAAGAUGGUUUCGGCUAUCACUUACAGAUGGGCCCGCGGUGCAUUAGCUAGUUGGUAGGGUAAUGGCCUACC
Molecule: ribosomal RNA, 280 nt
Filed under: Listeria swaminathanii
Lineage: Bacteria; Bacillati; Bacillota; Bacilli; Caryophanales; Listeriaceae
Description: partial 16S ribosomal RNA
Rfam family: Bacterial small subunit ribosomal RNA
Source: RNAcentral